UCACCAACAGCUGGGCAUCCAGUUUAGCAGAACAGAUUUUGCACAGAGAGAGCCUGGCAUGUUCCUGAAUCAGUAUAGUGAAGGAGACAAAAAAGUAGUUUCUUAUGGAUUGGGGACUUAUAAAGACAUAGAGCAUCUGUUCCUCAGUUUAGUCAUAGUCUGGUUGCACUGAAUCAUGUUUAAAGCUAGAAUAAUGUGUAAAACUUUUUCACCUUGCUCAUACCUUUAUUUUAAUAUCUAGUGUAUUAUUUUUGCAAAUAAAAUGCUUUCAACAUCUCCAUUGAAGGUAUGUAAAUGAUUUUGCUCUUAUCUAUAAUUUUUCGUUAGUGAUAUUUUAAAACACACAAAGAUACUAAUUUUUUACUAAGAUUAUUUUAUUAUAUAACUUUAAAGUUUGAAUUGUAUGAUAGUGCAUAUAUAUACAACUCAUAUAUGAAAAUCCAUUUAAAUAUUUAAUUAUGAUUUCAUCUUGAUAUAUGCUA
This 482-nucleotide long non-coding RNA is filed under the name Bos taurus (domestic cattle). RNAcentral describes it as "long non-coding RNA NONBTAT018736". Lineage: Eukaryota; Metazoa; Chordata; Mammalia; Artiodactyla; Bovidae. The record is from RNAcentral.